This 400-nucleotide ribosomal RNA is filed under the name uncultured bacterium. RNAcentral describes it as "partial 16S ribosomal RNA". It matches the Rfam family "Bacterial small subunit ribosomal RNA", at positions 360 to 776 of the family's 1533-position model. The record is from RNAcentral.
AAUAUGGCACAAUGGGCGCAAGCCUGAUGCAGCAACGCCUCGUGAGCGAUGAAUGCCUUUGGGAANACAAUCUCUGUCUUUGGGGANAUAUAAACGACGGUACCCUCGGAGGAAGCCCCGGCUCACCACGUGCUAGCAGCCGCGGUAAUACGUAGGGGGCAAGCGUUAUCCGGAAUUAUUGGGCGUAAAGAGUGCGUAGGUGGUUUUGUAAGCGCGGGGUGAAAGGCAAUGGCUCAACCAUUGUAAGCCUUGCGAACUGCAAGACUUGAGUGCAGGAGAGGAAAGUGGAAUUCCUAGUGUAGCGGUGAAAUGCGUAGAUAUUAGGAGGAACACCAGUGGCGAAGGCGACUUUCUGGACUGUAACUGACACUGAGGCACGAAAGCGUGGGGAGCAAACAGG